GGAGGGUGCAAGCGUUAAUCGGAAUUACUGGGCGUAAAGCGCACGCAGGCGGUUUGUUAAGUCAGAUGUGAAAUCCCCGAGCUUAACUUGGGAACUGCAUUUGAAACUGGCAAGCUAGAGUCUUGUAGAGGGGGGUAGAAUUCCAGGUGUAGCGGUGAAAUGCGUAGAGAUCUGGAGGAAUACCGGUGGCGAAGGCGGCCCCCUGGACAAAGACUGACGCUCAGGUGCGAAAGCGUGGGGAGCAAACAGGAUUAGAUACCCUGGUAGUCCACGCUGUAAACGAUGUCGAUUUGGAGGUUGUGGGCUUGACCCGUGGCNNNNNNNNNNAACGCGUUAAAUCGACCGCCUGGGGAGUACGGCCGCAA
This 365-nucleotide ribosomal RNA is filed under the name uncultured bacterium. RNAcentral's name for it is "partial 16S ribosomal RNA". It matches the Rfam family "Bacterial small subunit ribosomal RNA", at positions 527 to 891 of the family's 1533-position model. The record is from RNAcentral.